Long non-coding RNA from Fukomys damarensis (Damara mole-rat), 988 nucleotides. RefSeq lists it as uncharacterized. NCBI's taxonomy places the organism in Eukaryota, Metazoa, Chordata, Mammalia, Rodentia, Bathyergidae. The transcript has 3 exons. The record is from RefSeq and is a predicted model, not a curated record.
AAAAGCAGCUUCCUAUUAUAGGAAAAAGAGAGAAGAGCUGUUGUUCAAAUAGAAUAUUGAGAAAUACAGUUUUCUUAAGGAUCCUAAAGCCAGAACUGUAUUGCUAAGUAAUGCUGGGCCUCCUUUCCAGCUCUGGAUUCCUGUUAAUCACGUGACUGACAAGUAAUAGGAUUGAAACUGUUUAGCUCCUAGGCAACAGCUUGAAGUGCCUAAAGCUUGGUUUAAUGAUUAUCUGAGUUUUAACGCGUCUGUUUUCUAUUAUGUAUAUGUGAUCUUAUCUUUAAUAGGUGAACACAUUAUAAGUUUAUUCAAUAUAAAACAGGAUAACCAAAGGAGAAGGCUUCUGGAAGCAGUAAUGAUGAAAGGUACAUUGAGGUAUGCAUCACCUUAGGAAAGCAUAAAAAGAAAAACUACGGCCAUGAAGGACUUUUCUGGGGGAAAAUGUACCACAUUUGAAUACAGCACUUUGUGUCAGUUCUAUCCUUUUGAUCACAUCACCUGUGAAUGUGGCACUCAGUCAAAGGUUUGAAUAGAAUCUAUUUUACCACCUUCAUCGUCAUCAUCACUCUCAGCCUCAUCACCAUCACCAGCCCAUGAUGGGCACCAAGAUUUCACAUUCCAGAGGAAGGUAUUUCAAUAUAGAUUAUAGGUUUUUAUUUGAUUUAAAAUGUUUGCAGUGCAAAUAUGAAAAUUAUAUUACAUUCAUCCACCAGAGGGAGCCCCCAAAUCUGCUGUCUAAAAGAAAAUAAGGCUGCAAUAAAUAAGUGGCAUUUCUUUACAUUUUAUUGUUGACAAUGACAUGUUAAUUGACUCGGUGUCAUGGUGGUUAUGGGCUCACAUAUUAAAUGGUCUUUUGAAUAUAAGGUGACUAAAAUCAUUUCUUACUAUACAUGCCACUUCAUUUUAAUUUAUGGUUCUUAAAUAAUUGUCUAUACUUUUGUCUUUUUCUAACUUUGUCUUCGAGUUUUUGUGUUAUUUUAGUUCUACU